RNAcentral lists this ribosomal RNA (469 nucleotides) under uncultured bacterium. Its description in RNAcentral is "bacterial SSU rRNA". It matches the Rfam family "Bacterial small subunit ribosomal RNA", at positions 28 to 507 of the family's 1533-position model. The record is from RNAcentral.
GAUGAACGCUGGCGGCGUGCUUAACACAUGCAAGUCGAACGAAGAUGCCGGAGUGCUUGCACUUUGGCAGACUGAGUGGCGGACGGGUGAGUAACGCGUGGGUAACCUGCCUUAUACAGGGGGAUAACAGUUGGAAACGACUGCUAAUACCGCAUAAGCGCACGGUAUCGCAUGAUACAGUGUGAAAAACUCCGGUGGUAUAAGAUGGACCCGCGUCUGAUUAGCCAGUUGGCAGGGUAACGGCCUACCAAAGCGACGAUCAGUAGCCGGCCUGAGAGGGUGAACGGCCACAUUGGGACUGAGACACGGCCCAAACUCCUACGGGAGGCAGCAGUGAGGAAUAUUGGGCAAUGGGGGAAACCCUGAUGCAGCGACGCCGCGUGAGUGAUGAAGUAUUUCGGUAUGUAAAACUCUAUCAGCAGGGAAGAUAAUGACGGUACCUGACUAAGAAGCACCGGCUAAAUACGUG